UACGUAGGGGGCAAGCGUUGUCCGGAUUCAUUGGGCGUAAAGAGCGUGUAGGCGGCCUGACAGGUCAGCUGUGAAAACUCGAGGCUCAACCUCGAGACGUCGGUUGAAACCAUCUGGCUAGAGUCCGGAAGAGGAGUGUGGAAUUCCCGGUGUAGCGGUGAAAUGCGCAGAUAUCGGGAAGAACACCCGUGGCGAAGGCGGCACUCUGGGACGGUACUGACGCUGAGACGCGAAAGCGUGGGGAGCGAACAGG
RNAcentral lists this ribosomal RNA (253 nucleotides) under uncultured bacterium. RNAcentral's name for it is "partial 16S ribosomal RNA". It matches the Rfam family "Bacterial small subunit ribosomal RNA", at positions 524 to 776 of the family's 1533-position model. The record is from RNAcentral.